RNAcentral lists this transfer RNA (63 nucleotides) under Xylophaga dorsalis. RNAcentral describes it as "tRNA-Val". The record is from RNAcentral. Lineage: Eukaryota; Metazoa; Mollusca; Bivalvia; Myida; Xylophagaidae.
CUGAAAAUAGCAUAAAAAGUGUUAUUUGCUUACAACAAAUAGGUGGUAGUUUACCUUUUCAAU